ACGGGAGCAGCAGUGGGGAAUAUUGCACAAUGGGCGAAAGCCUGAUGCAGCGACGCCGCGUGAGCGAAGAAGUAUUUCGGUAUGUAAAGCUCUAUCAGCAGGGAAGAUAAUGACGGUACCUGACUAAGAAGCACCGGCUAAAUACGUGCCAGCAGCCGCGGUAAUACGUAUGGUGCAAGCGUUAUCCGGAUUUACUGGGUGUAAAGGGAGCGUAGGCGGUUUUACAAGUCUGAUGUGAAAGCCCGGGGCUCAACUCCGGUAUUGCAUUGGAAACUGUAGAACUAGAGUGUCGGAGGGGUAAGUGGAAUUCCUAGUGUAGCGGUGAAAUGCGUAGAUAUUAGGAGGAACACCAGUGGCGAAGGCGGCUUACUGGACGAUUACUGACGCUGAGGCUCGAAAGCGUGGGGAGCAAACAGGAUUAGAUACCCUGGUA
This 433-nucleotide ribosomal RNA is filed under the name uncultured Pseudobutyrivibrio sp. RNAcentral's name for it is "partial 16S ribosomal RNA". It matches the Rfam family "Bacterial small subunit ribosomal RNA", at positions 341 to 792 of the family's 1533-position model. The record is from RNAcentral. Lineage: Bacteria; Bacillati; Bacillota; Clostridia; Lachnospirales; Lachnospiraceae.